RNAcentral lists this ribosomal RNA (465 nucleotides) under Vreelandella stevensii. Its description in RNAcentral is "partial 16S ribosomal RNA". It matches the Rfam family "Bacterial small subunit ribosomal RNA", at positions 338 to 795 of the family's 1533-position model. The record is from RNAcentral. Lineage: Bacteria; Pseudomonadati; Pseudomonadota; Gammaproteobacteria; Oceanospirillales; Halomonadaceae.
CCUACGGGAGGCAGCAGUGGGGAAUAUUGGACAAUGGGGGCAACCCUGAUCCAGCCAUGCCGCGUGUGUGAAGAAGGCCCUCGGGUUGUAAAGCACUUUCAGUGAGGAAGAACGCCUGGUGGUUAAUACCCAUCAGGAAAGACAUCACUCACAGAAGAAGCACCGGCUAACUCCGUGCCAGCAGCCGCGGUAAUACGGAGGGUGCGAGCGUUAAUCGGAAUUACUGGGCGUAAAGCGCGCGUAGGUGGCUUGAUAAGCCGGUUGUGAAAGCCCCGGGCUCAACCUGGGAACGGCAUCCGGAACUGUCAAGCUAGAGGGCAGGAGAGGAAGGUAGAAUUCCCGGUGUAGCGGUGAAAUGCGUAGAGAUCGGGAGGAAUACCAGUGGCGAAGGCGGCCUUCUGGACUGACACUGACACUGAGGUGCGAAAGCGUGGGUAGCAAACAGGAUUAGAUACCCCAGUAGUC